RNAcentral lists this long non-coding RNA (469 nucleotides) under Penaeus japonicus. Its description in RNAcentral is "uncharacterized LOC122255758". The record is from RNAcentral. Lineage: Eukaryota; Metazoa; Arthropoda; Malacostraca; Decapoda; Penaeidae.
AUUCCUGCACUGGGGGGGUUCUCCGGCUUCCGCGCGCCAGUACCACGUUGUCUCCCCUCUCGUACCCCUCUUCCUGCCUCUCGCUCUUUCCCCUCGCUCGUGCAGCUGCGUUUCUGGAAGGGGCAGGUGUUUUCGCUUCUCAGUGAGAAUAGGUAAACAAAAAAGAGGAAAGAAAGUAUAGGGUGUUGAAGAAAAUUACCCAGGAUUUUCAAGAAGGAAAAAGAUUUUGAAAAAAUAAAAAAAAUAUUAUUGACGGUGCUACUUUACGUUUGCCUUUGCUCUCCUCCCUCCCUCCCCUCCCCCCUUCUCUCUUUCUUUCCUUCCCCCCUUUCCCCCCUCCUUCUUUCUCUCUUCUUUGGUUUUCCUUCUUCUUCCUCCUUCAGGCGUCAUUCUCACUCGUCGGAAUUAAGAGAGAAAAAAGAGAGAAAGAUAAAUAAUAGUAGAAGAGAAAAUAAAAUCAAGUAAUAAA